UGGGGAAUAUUGCACAAUGGGGGAAAGCCCUGAUGCAGCAACGCCGCGUGAAGGAAGAAGGUUUUCGGAUCGUAAACUUCUAUCAACAGGGACGAAACAAAUGACGGUACCUGAAUAAGAAGCCCCGGCUAACUACGCGCCAGCAGCCGCGGUAAUACGUAGGGGGCAAGCGUUAUCCGGAAUUACUGGGUGUAAAGGGAGCGUAGGCGGCACGUCAAGCCAGAUGUGAAAGCCCGGGGCUUAACCCCGUGGAUUGCAUUUAGGAACUGGCGAGCUAGAGUACAGGAGAGGAAAGCGGAAUUCCUAGUGUAGCGGUGAAAUGCGUAGAUAUUAGGAGGAACACCAGUGGCGAAGGCGGCUUACUGGACGGUAACUGACGUUGAGGCUCGAAAGCGUGGGGAGCAAACAGGAUUAGAUACCC
RNAcentral lists this ribosomal RNA (421 nucleotides) under uncultured bacterium. RNAcentral describes it as "bacterial SSU rRNA". It matches the Rfam family "Bacterial small subunit ribosomal RNA", at positions 355 to 787 of the family's 1533-position model. The record is from RNAcentral.